This 1462-nucleotide ribosomal RNA is filed under the name metagenome. RNAcentral describes it as "bacterial LSU rRNA". It matches the Rfam family "Bacterial large subunit ribosomal RNA", at positions 1456 to 2905 of the family's 2925-position model. The record is from RNAcentral.
CUUAAGCAAUGGAGAGACGCAGGAAGGUAGCCGAACCGCGGCGAUGGUUGUUCCGCGGGUAAGGGUGUAGGGCGAGGUGUAGGCAAAUCCGCACCUCAUGUGCCUGAGACCUGACACGGACCCGUAAGGGGAAGUCGGUGAUCCUAUGCUGCCAAGAAAAUCUUCUAGCGAGGUUCUAGCCGCCCGUACCCCAAACCGACUCAGGUGGUUAGGUAGAGAAUACCAAGGCGAUCGAGUGAAUCGUGGUUAAGGAAUUCGGCAAAAUACCCCCGUAACUUCGGGAGAAGGGGGGCCCAGAGGGUGACGGGACUUGCUCCCCGAGCCUGAACGGCCGCAGAGACCAGGGAGAAGCGACUGUUUACUAAAACACAGGUCCGUGCCAAGUCGCAAGACGAUGUAUACGGACUGACGCCUGCCCGGUGCUGGAACGUUAAGGGGACCGGUUAGCCUCACGGCGAAGCUGAGAACUUAAGCGCCAGUAAACGGCGGUGGUAACUAUAACCAUCCUAAGGUAGCGAAAUUCCUUGUCGGGUAAGUUCCGACCUGCACGAAUGGCGUAACGACUUCUCCACUGUCUCAACCACGAACUCGGCGAAAUUGCACUACGAGUAAAGAUGCUCGUUACGCGCAGAAGGACGGAAAGACCCCGGGACCUUUACUACAGCUUGGUAUUGGUGUUCGGUACGGCUUGUGUAGGAUAGGUGGGAGACUGUGAAGCUGACACGCCAGUGUCGGUGGAGUCAACGUUGAAAUACCACUCUGGUCGUUCUGGAUAUCUAACCUAGGUCCGUAAUCCGGAUCAGGGACAGUGCCUGGUGGGUAGUUUAACUGGGGCGGUUGCCUCCUAAAAGGUAACGGAGGCGCCCAAAGGUUCCCUCAGCCUGGUUGGCAAUCAGGUUUCGAGUGUAAGUGCACAAGGGAGCUUGACUGUGAGACUGACAAGUCGAACAGGGACGAAAGUCGGGACUAGUGAUCCGGCGGUGGCUUGUGGAAGCGCCGUCGCUCAACGGAUAAAAGGUACCCCGGGGAUAACAGGCUGAUCUUGCCCAAGAGUCCAUAUCGACGGCAUGGUUUGGCACCUCGAUGUCGGCUCGUCGCAUCCUGGGGCUGGAGUAGGUCCCAAGGGUUGGGCUGUUCGCCCAUUAAAGCGGUACGCGAGCUGGGUUUAGAACGUCGUGAGACAGUUCGGUCCCUAUCCUCUGCGCGCGCAGGAAACUUGAGGAGGGCUGUCCCUAGUACGAGAGGACCGGGAUGGACGAACCUCUGGUGUGUCAGUUGUUCUGCCAAGAGCACCGCUGAUUAGCUACGUUCGGGAGUGAUAACCGCUGAAAGCAUCUAAGCGGGAAGCAUGCUUCAAGAUGAGGUUUCCUUGGGGUUUACCCCGAGAGGCUCCCAGCUAGACUACUGGGUUGAUAGGCCGGAUGUGGAAGUGCGGUAACGCAUGGAGCUGACCGGUACUAAU